UACGAAGGGGGCUAGCGUUGCUCGGAAUCACUGGGCGUAAAGGGUGCGUAGGCGGUUCUUUAAGUCAGGGGUGAAAUCCUGGAGCUCAACUCCAGAACUGCCUUUGAUACUGAGGAUCUUGAGUUCGGGAGAGGUGAGUGGAACUGCGAGUGUAGAGGUGAAAUUCGUAGAUAUUCGCAAGAACACCAGUGGCGAAGGCGGCUCACUGGCCCGAUACUGACGCUGAGGCACGGAAGCGUGGGGAGCAAACAGG
This 253-nucleotide ribosomal RNA is filed under the name uncultured bacterium. RNAcentral's name for it is "partial 16S ribosomal RNA". It matches the Rfam family "Bacterial small subunit ribosomal RNA", at positions 524 to 776 of the family's 1533-position model. The record is from RNAcentral.